GACGGACGCUGGCGGCGUGCCUAAUACAUGCAAGUAGAACGCACAGUUUAUACCGUAGCUUGCUACACCAUAGACUGUGAGUUGCGAACGGGUGAGUAACGCGUAGGUAACCUGCCUGGUAGCGGGGGAUAACUAUUGGAAACGAUAGCUAAUACCGCAUAAUAUUAAUUAUUGCAUGAUAAUUAAUUGAAAGGUGCAAUUGCACCACUACCAGAUGGACCUGCGUUGUAUUAGCUAGUAGGUGAGGUAACGGCUCACCUAGGCGACGAUACAUAGCCGACCUGAGAGGGGGAUCGGCCACACUGGGACUGGGACACGGCCCAGACUCCUACGGGAGGCAGCAGUAGGGAAUCUUCGGCAAUGGACGAAAGUCUGACCGAGCAACGCCGCGUGAGUGAAGAAGGGUUUCGGAUCGUAAAGCUCUGUUGUAAGAGAAGAACGGGUGUGAGAGUGGAAAGUUCACACUGUGACGGUAUCUUACCAGAAAGGGACGGCUAACUACGUG
Molecule: ribosomal RNA, 505 nt
Filed under: uncultured bacterium
Lineage: Bacteria
Description: partial 16S ribosomal RNA
Rfam family: Bacterial small subunit ribosomal RNA
Source: RNAcentral